Long non-coding RNA from Rana temporaria (common frog), 1323 nucleotides. RefSeq lists it as uncharacterized. The transcript has 3 exons. The record is from RefSeq and is a predicted model, not a curated record. Lineage: Eukaryota; Metazoa; Chordata; Amphibia; Anura; Ranidae.
UUUGUGUAAAUAUAGAAGAGAGGGAAUCGCUCGCUAUUCUCUAAUUGCGGGGGAGGCUUCCGCCUUUAAUUCACACCCCUCCUCUCUCAUUGGCUGUAGAAAAGCUGAAUUUGUGGCGCCAAAUCUGAGUCCUGAGCAGGAGAGGAGCUAGCUGGAAGAAGGAUGGGAAAUGUCAGCGCUGACAACUAGCGCACAUUGGAAAUUGAGCUGAGCGAGGGAGGAGGAGAAUGUCGACCCAGGAGCCUGGACAUUGUCACUGCUCAUAUAAGACACCCCUCCGGUCAAUGGACAAGUGAGGAGCAGGUAGCGAGCAUGCAGAGGACUGUCCAGAAAGGAGAAACUCGAUUCUCUUCCAUGCCUGUGUGUGUACCAGGCAGCACCCGAGUCUCCCCCCUCCCCUCCCGGGGGGAGGACGGAGCAAGCAGAACAACAACACAUUGCUACCCAUAAAGUAGGCACCGGAGCUCCACAAGGCAAGAUAACAGGACGGAUGUCAGACUGCAUUCUUCUCCUGGCGAUACCCUGGGAACCCUUUUCAACCUCCUGACCCACUUUUGGCAGCAAAAUAUGAUGACAACAGAAGUUUUGUAGCGAUGGGCAAUAAAGAAGAAAAAAAAAGGAACACACAAUUCUCAUACAAAAGCUCUCCGGGUGCAAAUCUUGAAGCCUUUUGAAUGAUGCUAGAAGUGCAAAAAUUGUCAAAGUAAAGAAAAACGUCACACAGUUCCAGGAACAGCGGGGACUGUAUAGCCGUAAACUGAAUGAAAAGUUAGUGAUUGUGGAAGUCAUGCUGAUAAAACUUCAAUGCUGAAUGGCAAUCAAGUAGAAGUUUGCUUAUAUUAAACAGAAUUUAGAGUUAUAAGUUGCUGACAUGAAAUAUUUAUGCAUUUGCUUUUAUCGUCACAGUACCACAUCCCCAAUUUCUGCAAACAUAUCUGUCAAAACAAUGGACUUUUAAGGUAUUAGGGGUCACAAAUAAACCAACUGAAUAACCCCUUUUCGACUUAAUUUCACACACCUGUACAUUACAUAUGGACCAGAGCAAAUUUUACAUUUCUGUUAUUGGCCUAUUGAUUCGUCAAGAAGAACUUUGUUAUUACAUAAAGUAAAACUAUAAGCAAAACUUUUUUUUCUUAUUUUGGAUAGAGGGAGGGGGGAUUAUAAUGUCUGGUAAUUUGUUUUGCUAUCAGUGUCUCAUUCCGGUCCUAUACUCAAAACAAGGGGUGAGAGGAAAUCCCUAAAAAUCAAGGGAAUCCAUUGGGAUCCCCCAGGUCACCGGAAUUAGUGUCCCCAUUGGAAAAUUUCCACUCCAUUACUGUUCUG